Hyla sarda is the source of this 227-nucleotide long non-coding RNA. RefSeq lists it as uncharacterized. The transcript has 3 exons. The record is from RefSeq and is a predicted model, not a curated record. NCBI's taxonomy places the organism in Eukaryota, Metazoa, Chordata, Amphibia, Anura, Hylidae.
AGGUGAUUGAUGCCCGGUGAGAGGGUGAAAGGGACCUAUACCCCCGUCAGCUGCAGGAAAGGAACAAAGAGACAGGUGAUUGAUGCCCGGUGAGAAGGUGAAAGUGACCUAUACCCCCGUCAGCUGCAGGAAAGGAACCAAGAGACAGGUGAUUGAUUCCCGGUGAGAGGGUGAAAGGGACCUAUACCCCCGUCAGCUGCAGGAAAGGAACAAAGAGACAGGUAAUU